GACGAACGCUGGCGGCGUGCUUAACACAUGCAAGUCGAACGGAAAGGCCCUGCUUUUGUGGGGUGCUCGAGUGGCGAACGGGUGAGUAACACGUGAGUAACCUGCCCUUGACUUUGGGAUAACUUCAGGAAACUGGGGCUAAUACCGGAUAGGAGCUCCUGCUGCAUGGUGGGGGUUGGAAAGUUUCGGCGGUUGGGGAUGGACUCGCGGCUUAUCAGCUUGUUGGUGGGGUAGUGGCUUACCAAGGCUUUGACGGGUAGCCGGCCUGAGAGGGUGACCGGCCACAUUGGGACUGAGAUACGGCCCAGACUCCUACGGGAGGCAGCAGUGGGGAAUAUUGCACAAUGGGCGGAAGCCUGAUGCAGCAACGCCCCGUGCGGGAUGACGGCCGUCGGGUUGUAAACCGCUUUCGCCUGUGACGAAGCGUGAGUGACGGUAAUGGGUAGAGAAGCACCGGCUAACUACGUG
This 468-nucleotide ribosomal RNA is filed under the name uncultured bacterium. RNAcentral's name for it is "partial 16S ribosomal RNA". It matches the Rfam family "Bacterial small subunit ribosomal RNA", at positions 28 to 507 of the family's 1533-position model. The record is from RNAcentral.